ACGCUCGACACCUACGGGAGGCAGCAGUAGGGAAUCUUCCACAAUGGACGCAAGUCUGAUGGAGCAACGCCGCGUGNGUGAAGAAGGUUUUCGGAUCGUAAAGCUCUGUUGUUGGUGAAGAAGGAUAGAGGUAGUAACUGGCCUUUAUUUGACGGUAAUCAACCAGAAAGUCACGGCUAACUACGUGCCAGAAGCCGCGGUAAUCUGAGCGGGCUGGCAAGGC
Molecule: ribosomal RNA, 223 nt
Filed under: uncultured bacterium
Lineage: Bacteria
Description: partial 16S ribosomal RNA
Rfam family: Bacterial small subunit ribosomal RNA
Source: RNAcentral